This 218-nucleotide ribosomal RNA is filed under the name uncultured bacterium. RNAcentral's name for it is "partial 16S ribosomal RNA". It matches the Rfam family "Bacterial small subunit ribosomal RNA", at positions 57 to 305 of the family's 1533-position model. The record is from RNAcentral.
GCAAGUCGAACGCACCUUCGGGUGAGUGGCGCACGGGUGAGUAACGCGUGGGAACGUACCUUUUAGUUGGGAAUAGCCCCGGGAAACUGGGAAUAAUACCUGAUACGCCCUUCGGGGGAAAGAUUUAUCGCUAAAAGAUCGGCCCGCGUGACAUUAGAUUGUUGGUGGGGUAAUGGCCUACCAAGACUACGAUCCAUAGCUGGUCUGAGAGGAUGAUC